RNAcentral lists this ribosomal RNA (253 nucleotides) under uncultured bacterium. Its description in RNAcentral is "partial 16S ribosomal RNA". It matches the Rfam family "Bacterial small subunit ribosomal RNA", at positions 524 to 776 of the family's 1533-position model. The record is from RNAcentral.
GACGUAGGGGGCCAGCGUUGUUCGGAAUUACUGGGUGUAAAGGGUUCGUAGGCGGUGCGGCAAGUCGGGAGUGAAAUCUCUGGGCUCAACCCAGAGGCUGCUUCCGAAACUGCUGUGCUUGAGUGUGGGAGAGGCGCGUGGAAUUGCAGGUGUAGCGGUGAAAUGCGUAGAUAUCUGCAGGAACACCCGUGGCGAAAGCGGCGCGCUGGACCACUACUGACGCUGAGGCGCGAAGGCCAGGGGAGCAAACGGG